AGANCUUCGGGUCUAGUGGCGCACGGGUGCGUAACGCGUGGGAAUCUGCCCUUUGGUUCGGAAUAACAGUUGGAAACGACUGCUAAUACCGGAUGAUGACGAAAGUCCAAAGAUUUAUCGCCAGAGGAUGAGCCCGCGUAGGAUUAGCUAGUUGGUGUGGUAAAGGCGCACCAAGGCGACGAUCCUUAGCUGGUCUGAGAGGAUGAUCAGCCACACUGGGACUGAGACACGGCCCAGACUCCUACGGGAGGCAGCAGUGGGGAAUAUUGGACAAUGGGCGAAAGCCUGAUCCAGCAAUGCCGCGUGAGUGAUGAAGGCCUUAGGGUUGUAAAGCUCUUUUACCCGGGAUGAUAAUGACAGUACCGGGAGAAUAAGCUCCGGCUAACUCCGUGCCAGCAGCCGCGGUAAUACGGAGGGAGCUAGCGUUGUUCGGAAUUACUGGGCGUAAAGCGCACGUAGGCGGCUUUGUAAGUUAGAGGUGAAAGCCUGGAGCUCAACUCCAGAACUGCCUUUAAGACUGCAUCGCUUGAAUCCAGGAGAGGUGAGUGGAAUUCCGAGUGUAGAGGUGAAAUUCGUAGAUAUUCGGAAGAACACCAGUGGCGAAGGCGGCUCACUGGACUGGUAUUGACGCUGAGGUGCGAAAGCGUANGGAGCAAACAGGAUUAGAUACCCUGGUAGUCCACGCCGUAAACGAUGAUAACUAGCUGUCCGGGGACUUGGUCUUUGGGUGGCGCAGCUAACGCAUUAAGUUAUCCGCCUGGGGAGUACGGCCGCAAGGUUAAAACUCAAAUGAAUUNGACGGGGGCCUGCACAAGCGGUGGAGCAUGUGGUUUNAUUCGAAGCAACGCGCAG
Molecule: ribosomal RNA, 852 nt
Filed under: uncultured bacterium
Lineage: Bacteria
Description: bacterial SSU rRNA
Rfam family: Bacterial small subunit ribosomal RNA
Source: RNAcentral